UCGUGCCAGCCACCGCGGUUAUACGAGAGACCCUAGUUGAUUGAAACGGCGUAAAGAGUGGUUAUGGAAUUCUUUUCUUAAAGCAGAAAACCUCUCAAACUGUUAUACGCACCCAGAGGUUAAAAUACCUCACACGAAAGUGACUUUAUCUUCGCCUACCAGAACCCACGAAAGCUAGGACACAAACUGGGAUUAGAUACCCCACUAUG
Molecule: ribosomal RNA, 209 nt
Filed under: Anchoa mitchilli (bay anchovy)
Lineage: Eukaryota; Metazoa; Chordata; Actinopteri; Clupeiformes; Engraulidae
Description: partial small subunit ribosomal RNA
Source: RNAcentral